UGCGCCGCGGGAACGCGCUCGCAGCCCCGCUCGACGGUCCCGGCAGCCCACUAGCGACCCCGCGCCCCGGCCCUGGGGCGGUGAGGUGGUCGGCAGGCCCAGACCCCCGAGAGCCCCGCCCCGACGCCUGCUUCGCCCCCAGGCCUCCCGUACCGCCAGCCGCGCUCACCCACGGACAUCCUCACGAGCUCACAGCGAGGUCUCGCAAAGCGUGACCUUCUGCCGGCAGAUUUCGGCGAGCGGGGGGGUACUUCCAGAGGCAGGCGGACACCUACACCCAGCCGGCGCUGCGCCGCCUCUUCCGCAGCUUCGACAGCAACCGUCGCUGGCGGAGAGGAUGGUGCUCAAGGGCAAGCAGGCUGAAUUGGAACAACAGGGAAUCCGCUCUUCACUCCGGGUGAAGUUCUUCUGUGCUGUCCAGGGGGAGCUAAAUCAUUGCAACAGCAUGGGUGCCCUGGAGAGCGGGUGGAACAGCUGAAGCGGAGUAUCCACCGCGUGCACCUCUACUCCUGGAGUGAGGCUCAAUCUCUGCCGGUGCUGGGCCCUGUGGGUUUCUGAGUCCAGUGCAGCCAGUCGGAGGGCCAGGUGACCACCUCCACUCUUCCCGUUGGAUUUGCCCUCCUUGAACCACGUUUUAUCCAGAGCGGGAAGGGGCCUGGGAAAUCUGAACCUGGGAGACGGAGAGGCGCUGCCCCUAGCUAGAUUCUUUAGUUAAGAGACUGACUUCAGCUCUGCUACUUCCUGGCUGUGUGAUCCUGAGCAAGGUGGGCCACCUUUUUGAGACAGAGAGCCCUCAUUGCUCACCUUGGUGAGUGUUUGGAGUGUGGAUGAAGGCCUGCAGGUAGGGCCUGGCUCAAGCAACCCAGAAAACGCAACUCAAAAAAAAAAACUGAGACAGUCCUGGCACUGACCAACCAUGUCCUUGGUGUGGCCCUGUGGUUUGUCUCUGCCCCUAUGUUUGGCACUUAAAAAAAAAGCAACAUUGGGCCGGGCACGGUGGCUCACGCCUGUAAUCCCAGCACUUUGGGAGGCCGAGGCAGGUGGAUCACGAGGUCAAGAGAUCGAGACCAUCCUGGUCAACAUGGUGAAACCCCGUCUCUACUAAAAAUACAAAAAAUUAGCUGGGCACGGUGGCGCAUGCCUGUAAUUCCAGCUACUCAGGAGGCUGAGGCAGGAGAAUUGCCUGAACCCAGGAGGCGGAGUUUGCGGUGAGCGGAGAUCGUGCCAUUCCACUCCAGCCUGGGUAACAAGCGAAACUCCGUCUCACAAAGAAAAAAAAAAAGAAAGAAAAUGCUGGUACUCUAGCUACUGCUAUUGCUGUAAUAAACUGUCCUUUGUGUCUGACCCAAGAGUGUCUUGUGUGGCUGGGAGCAGUGGCUCACGCCUGUAAACCCAGCACUUUGGGAGGCCAAGGCGGGUGCAUCAGUUGAGGUCAGGAGUUUGAGACCAGCCUGGCCAACAUAGUCAAACUCUGUCUCUACUAAAAAUACAAAAGUUAGCCAGGUGUGGUGGCAGGAGCCUGUAAUUCCAGCUACUCAGGAGGCUGAAGCAAGAUAAUCUUUUGAAUCCAGGAGGUGGAGGUUGCAGUGAGCCGAGAUCGCACCAUUGCACUCCAGCUUGGGUAACAAGAGCCAAACUCCGUCUCAAAAAAAAAGCAACAACAACACUUACCGGGUGCGGUGGCUCACACCUGUAAUCCCAGCACUUGGGGAAGCGGAAGUAAGAGAUCUCUUGAGCCUAGGAGUUGGAGGCCAGCCUGGGCAACAUAGCAAGACCCCAUCUCUACAAAAAUUUUUUUAAAGCUAGCCAGGUGUGGUGGCCCAUGCCUGUAGUCCUGGCUACUUGGGAGGCUGAGGCAGGAGGAUGGCUUGAGCCCAGGAAUUUGAAUUCAUGGUGAGCUAUGAUCACACCAGUGUGCUCCAGCCUGGGCGACAGAGUGAGACCCUGUCUCUGUAAAGUGACAGCAACUACAAAAACAAACAUUUGCUGACAUAAUCACAAUGUCACUGAUACACUUGACAUAAUUGACAACGGUUCUCUGACAUCAGCUGGUCAUAGUCACCUCUCCUAGAUGGGCCACAAAAGUGUUUCUAGACUUGGUCUGUCACCUCAGGACCCAGUGAGACCCACACAUUCAUUAUGUUUCACUGUUAGGCCUCAGGUUCCUUUUAGCUAGGAUGAUCGUAUAAUUGGUGUCUAAAUUGGGCCACUCGUGAGGAUGAAAUGAAAGGGGGCCAUAUAUAUGGCCACACAGGGACAGCAAGUAUAUACUGGAUGGCCCUGGGUCCUUGGCGACUUCUGUUGAUGUCCCCUUUGAGGAGGGAUAGCCUGUCUGGUGUCGUCCUCUGUCCUGCUCCACUUUCCGAGUUUGCGGCUAUUACAAUUUGGUAGUGCUUCCUCCUCUGCCUGUAUUUCUUGGACAGUUGCUCUAAAGCUCGAUUGGAUUCAGGCUCAGUUCCUUCAGUAUAUUUGUGUUCGUGGAUGACGACACUAGUGUGGGGCUACUCACUUCUGCGUCACAUGGGGAGGCCCAGCUUGCCUGGGUGUCCCACUUUCUGGGGUGCUGAGAGUGAGCCCUCCCUCCACUGAUGGUUGGACAACAGCACCUGUAGUCCCCUAAGGUAGCUUUGAUGUUAUUUACCCCUGUAAAUAACAGAAAAGGAAAUAGAGGCACAAGGAGGUUAGCCAACCUGUGCAUGCUCACAGUAGUUGAGCCUGAACUUGAACUCAGGUCUAGGUUGCUCUGGUCUCCAGGCCAGGCAGGGUGGUGGCUAUCAUCAUAGAUGAGCUGUUCUGAUGGGCCAUAUUAGGAGCUUGUUAACAUGCACUUUGCUGGUAGCCUCCAACUUUUGAAGGGUAGAAAUAGCCAGACUGAAUACAGGAGGAAGACGUGACAUAGAGGUCAGGGUCUGCUCCCGGGCUCCCGCCCCUCAAAGAUCCCCUCCCUGAGCCCACCUCUGUAGGAUUCCUCAAUGUGUGUGUCCUCAUGGAGGAGGUGCCCUUUUCCACACCCCCAGGAUGACCCUGUGGUGGGGUGUGGUCGGUGGGCUCACUGUUCCAGUCCUGGAUACUGUGCACCGGUGUUGGCCAACUCCACAGCUUUUCACCAUGCUUCGGGGGUGGGCUGAAGACUGACCUGCCUGGACCAAGCCCACCCCUCCUUGGCAUCCCAUCACUUCCUGUGAAAUUCUCCCGUUGAAGUCAGACAGCCUGGCAUGGAUCCUGCCUGUGGCUUGGACAGCCGGAGCCUCUAGGUCCACUUACACCAAGAAGAGGGGAAGGAAGCCAACAAAGAAGAAAGCAGAACCCAUCUAACAGGAUCAGUUGAUCUGCCUGUGCCUGCCACCAACCCUGCUGCCACUUCCACCACUGCCACCACCGUGGGCUCCGUGGCGACCCUGUCACCCCCUGUCUACACUCUGCUGAGAGUCUUUGGCCUCCUCCCUCUGCUGCCUGCACGUCAGUCAGUUGAGAAUUUGGACAUUUCAAGAUCUGAAGUGAAAUUAAACAGGAAUGGCCUGUCAUCAAACCCAAAGAGAUGGAAGGAAUUUACUCUGGACUUGAAAGAAAUGAAAAAGCAUUUUGGGAAUGUCCUGUGUGCCAUGUUUGGCCACAAUUUCUUCUCCAACCAUCCUGACCGCAUAGUUGAUCUGACUCUCUUGGUUGUCAACUCCGGAAGCUUCCAUUUCUCAUAUGUGGCUGGAAUCAGUAUGUUCAAGCUCCAUUGCCCCAACUUCCCCUGUUGAGACAGGGUUUCACCAUGUUGGCCAGGAUGGUCUUGAACUCCUGUCCUCAAGUAAUCCACCUGUCUCAGCCUUCCAAAGUGCUGAGAUUACAAGUAUAUGCCACCAUGCCCUGCCUUAAUUGGUUUUCAAAAGCCUACAAAUGGAGACCAUGUUCCAUGAAGAAAAGUUCGCAAUACAGAAGUGAAUAUGUAAAAUGCAGGUCAUGCAUGUCUCCUCUGCAAGACCUCGGCCUGUAGUGAUUCCCCUAACACUGAUGCGACACCAGACUCUGCUGUGAAGGCCUCCAUCUUCUCCCCACCUGUCUUACUCAAGUUCCAGCCUGUUCCCAGACCCCAAGUUGAUUCAGAGAAUGACUCUGGCAAUGAAGAGUCUGUGCCCCAUGAAAGGAACCCAUAACCUCUUUCCUACAGACCAUAGCUAGAGGAAUAAAUCAAGUUCCUGUGGAGGUGCUAUCCGUGUGCUGGCUUCCUAGGUGUUGUGCUGUCCUAUCAACUCCCUCCGGCCCAAAGAGGGGGUCAGGGUAUUAUGGGUCUGAGCCUGCAUAUAUUAGGUGGUUGGGUUAGCACCACCAUGGUCCCCUCACUUGCACACUACCAUGACAGUCCCAUCAAGUGCACUUUGAGGCCGAGUGUGCUGGCUCAUGCCUGUAAGCCCAGCACUUUGGGAGGCUGAGACAGACAGAUCACUUGUUUCCCAGGCUGUAGUGCAGUGGCUAUUCACAGGCAAGAUCCUACUACUGAUUAGCACGGGAGUUUUGAGCUGCUGCUUUUUUUUUUUUUUUUUUUUUGAGACAAAGUCUCAUUCUGUCGCUGAGGCUGGAGUGCAGUGGCAUGAUAUCAGUGGCUGCAACCUCUGUUUCUCAGAUUCAGGCAUUUCUCUUGCCUCAGCCUCCCCAGUAGCUGGGAUAAUAAUGCCUAGCUAAUUUUUGUAUUUUUAGUAGAGAUGGGGUUUCACCAUAUUGGCCGGGCUGGUCUCGAACUCCUGAUCUCAGGUGACCUGCCUGCCUCGGCUUUCCAAAUUAUUGGGAUUACAGCCAUGAGCCACUGUGCCUGGCAAACCUGCUCUUUUUUCUUUUUUUUUUGAGACAGAGUCUUGCUCUCUCACCCAGGCUGGAGUGCAGUGACACAAUCUCGGCUCACUGCAGCCUCCGUCUCCCAGGUUCAAGCGAUUCUCCUGCCUCAGCCUCUCGAGUAGCUGGGACUACAGGCAGGCAAAUGCCAACAUGCCCAGCUAAUUUUCUGUGUUUUUAGUAGAGAUGGUGUUUCACUGUGUUAGCCAGGCUGGUCUCAAUCUCCUGACCUUGUGAUCUACCCACUUCGGCCUCCUAAAGUGCUGGGAUUACAGGCAUGAGCCACCAUACCUGGCCAAGCUGCUCCUACUCUAACCUGAGCCAGUUCACCCCUCCUUAGAAAAGCUGGUGGUUUCCUGCUUCCAAGAAAUCACCAAUAUAUGCCAAAUUUAGCACAGACAUCUGAUCAGCAUUGCACACUACAAUCCAGAAGUCCUGGAUCCAAGCAAUCCUCCUGCCUCAGCCUCCCAAGUAGCUGGGACUAUAGGUGGGUGCCCAGCAGUCCUAUAUUUCCAAGGAACCCUGGAGCCCUAAAGAAUCCAGUUUAAGGGCUGGGCGUGGUGGCCGAGGCGGGUGGAUCACAAGGUCAAGAGAUUGAGACCAUCCUGGUCAACAUGGU
This is a non-coding RNA of Callithrix jacchus (white-tufted-ear marmoset), 5434 nucleotides long. NCBI's taxonomy places the organism in Eukaryota, Metazoa, Chordata, Mammalia, Primates, Cebidae. The record is from RefSeq and is a predicted model, not a curated record.